RNAcentral lists this ribosomal RNA (433 nucleotides) under uncultured bacterium. Its description in RNAcentral is "partial 16S ribosomal RNA". It matches the Rfam family "Bacterial small subunit ribosomal RNA", at positions 29 to 507 of the family's 1533-position model. The record is from RNAcentral.
AACGAACGCUGGCGGCAUGCCUAACACAUGCAAGUCGAACGAGACCUUCGGGUCUAGUGGCGCACGGGUGCGUAACGCGUGGGAACCUGCCCUUAGGUUCGGAAUAACUCCCCGAAAGGGGUGCUAAUACCGGCUAAUGUCUUCGGACCAAAGAUUUAUCGCCUUUGGAUGGGCCCGCGUUGGAUUAGCUAGUUGGUAGGGUAAAAGCCUACCAAGGCGACGAUCCAUAGCUGGUCUGAGAGGAUGAUCAGCCACACUGGGACUGAGACACGGCCCAGACUCCUACGGGAGGUAGCAGUGGGGAAUAUUGGACAAUGGGCGAAAGCCUGAUCCAGCAAUGCCGCGUGAGUGAUGAAGGCCUUAGGGUUGUAAAGCUCUUUUACCCGGGAUGAUAAUGACAGUACCGGGAGAAUAAGCUCCGGCUAACUCCGUG